AUUGAACGCUGGCGGCAGGCCUAACACAUGCAAGUCGAGCGGAUGAAGGGAGCUUGCUCCUGGAUUCAGCGGCGGACGGGUGAGUAAUGCCUAGGAAUCUGCCUGGUAGUGGGGGAUAACGUCCGGAAACGGGCGCUAAUACCGCAUACGUCCUGAGGGAGAAAGUGGGGGAUCUUCGGACCUCACGCUAUCAGAUGAGCCUAGGUCGGAUUAGCUAGUUGGUGGGGUAAAGGCCUACCAAGGCGACGAUCCGUAGCUGGUCUGAGAGGAUGAUCAGUCACACUGGAACUGAGACACGGUCCAGACUCCUACGGGAGGCAGCAGUGGGGAAUAUUGGACAAUGGGCGCAAGCCUGAUCCAGCCAUGCCGCGUGUGUGAAGAAGGUCUUCGGAUUGUAAAGCCCUUUAAGUUGGGAGGAAGGGCAGUAAGUUAAUACCUUGCUGUUUUGACGUUACCAACAGAAUAAGCACCGGCUAACUUCGUG
This 484-nucleotide ribosomal RNA is filed under the name uncultured bacterium. RNAcentral describes it as "partial 16S ribosomal RNA". It matches the Rfam family "Bacterial small subunit ribosomal RNA", at positions 30 to 507 of the family's 1533-position model. The record is from RNAcentral.